This 2890-nucleotide long non-coding RNA is filed under the name Volvox carteri. Its description in RNAcentral is "long non-coding RNA (VCAR_LNC002983)". The record is from RNAcentral. Lineage: Eukaryota; Viridiplantae; Chlorophyta; Chlorophyceae; Chlamydomonadales; Volvocaceae.
CACUUGCAGUAGAAGCCUUGCAGUUGAAGCCAUGGCUAUUUGGCUCCACCGUACGUACCGCAACUUAAACCUGUAAACGACCAUCAUAAAAGAAAAUCAUCUUACCAUGAUUUCCGUGAAGCAUCCUAGGGAAAUUUCUGUAGAGCAAGCCUCUGCGCAGCUGAUGUGGUACUUGGCAAUAUUUCAUACGACAAACGCUAACCACUUUGUCGCCCAAACGCCAUAGGCUUCAAUUAUAGACACUUAGCGCAUUUAGAAAGCAAAUUACAGCGGCAGUUAUUAGCCAAACUAUGACCGUGCCUGGCGCGAAGCAAGCUGCUGCGCCCGUCGAAACCCAAACGUCUACCGCCACAGCAGCUCCUUCUACUAGCGUCGACCAGCAACAGGUUUGUCAGUUACUGAAGUGGUAUUUAUGUUUAGAGCUCAGAUUGUGCACAGUGGGCCUAUUAAGCCGCCGCUAUGCCUAAUCGCUGCCUAGCGGACGCUUCUUUCUUCAUAGUAUCGUUAUCCCAACUUCAGGAAUACAGUCUAGCACGUAGUACGCGCUUGCUUAUGCAUCGCCACCCGUGACUACUCCGGGUGGGUGUCAUCGCCUGUGCCAACCUUUCGAACUCCUGCUCCCUCUUCGUUCCCUAAAGGCCGUAUCAUCUGCCCCGGUCCGCAGCUGCAUGGCACAACCUAAAAGAUGGUCGCGCGAGUCAUAUGCCGCGUGCUCCCAGUCCCCUUGCACUUCAUCCUGAAGCUCCUCCUGCGCGCCAACCCGUGUUUGAACCGCUUUCUACCCAGGUUCGGCAGCUGCAGGUCGCUGUCGCGGAGCUUCGGAGCCUGAAGCAGGGGCGGGUAAGUUGUAGCCCUUGCCUAGGUGUUCCUUGCCCCUACAACAUCGCCUUCGCAUUGCACAUACAUACAUACAUACAUACAUACAUACAUACAUACAUACAUACAUACAUACAUACAUACAAGUUCGUGUGCCCCGUACCCUACGGCUGUUGGAGACGAUGGCGCUCCCAUUCCCCGUCCCAGACACCCCCAGACACCCCCGAUCCGGAGUGGGGGUGCGACACGAUUCGCGACUUGCAUCCACUUGUUGGCCAGCCAGCCAGCCGGUCAUUUACACAAGCAGGAACAUGAACAGCCUUUGGGGAUUUGGGGGGGGGCCCAGCCUAAUGAUUUGUGGCCUGCUGGCUGUAGGACUGUCCUGUCCCCUGUCCUCGGUCCUUGAGGGGGGGGGCCACCGGGACGUGGGGGGGGGAUGUGGCGCAGGGGGGCCCCCUUAUGGGUAGAUUGGUAUUUGCUCCAUUCGCCCGCCCGCUUUUGCUGUUGUUAUUGUUGUUGUUGUUGUUGCUGUUGUUGUUACAGGGUGGGAGGCUUCUGGCCAUUUGAACACAUUCGGAUUGUCCUAUCUAGUAUUGAACAGCGCCACCCACCACUGCCGCACUGUGUACACUACUUACAUACAGAGCCCCUCGUUGCCGCUCUCCGCUGAGGUCACCCCUCACCCGCACCCCCCCCCCCAAACACCAUUACACUCCCAGAGAGUUUACUACCGCAGCGGGGACGUCUUCCUGCUGACCAAACGGGACGAGCAAUUAAACGCGGCUACAGGUACGACGCAAUGACGUGGCACCCGGGGGGUGCUGGUUGGCGACUGUUGAUUCGGCUGGCUGCGGGGAUACAUGUGUGUGUUUUUGUAUGUGUUGAUGAAUGAGCUGUGUGUGGUGGUGGUGUGUGUGUGGUGGGGGGGGGAGGAUUGUAAAUGUCCAUGUGUGUGGUGGUGGGGUGGUGGUGAGGCGGGGAACUGGAUAUGUACCCCGGGGGGCGGGUGCCAUAGCCGGCGCCGACCUAGGGACUCGGGGGACUCGGUAGGGCUCUUAGUAACCUUAUGAGUGAAGGCGGUGCUGUGUCCGUGUCCGGUUCCGGUCCGUGUCCGGUCCGGUCCUGUCCUCCAGAAAAUAAAUUAUGUCCAAUACCUUGUGCUCUGUCGUCCGCCGUAAUACUCUCUGGCGGUGGGUCCCCCAGUGGCAUGUGGUCUCCAACCCCCCUCCCUCCCCCUUCAUUGGGGGAUAGGGGGGUGGGGGUGGGGAACUGAGCGUGUGCCGCGCGACCCGCAGGUCAGCCCCACUGGGCGGUUUUGCGCAUCGUACCAUCACCACACAAACCCUGAGAUAUUGCUCCUCGAAGUCCCCUCAUGUCCCUCACCUGUCGGGCUAGUCAGUCCUCUCGGCCCCCGCCUCCCCCUUCACUCGUUCGUGGUUCGUCUUCCCCCCGUCCUCCCCUCCCCCCCCCGGCGCGGUCUUCUUCCCCCGCGGGGCACCACGGGGGUUCCUCUUCCCCCGUCUGCCCCCAGAAAGCCUGCGAGCGCUCCUGGACCGCAAACCUCAACCGCCGCCAAAACCGUAACUGGAAUAACGACAACAACAGCAACAGGAGCAGCAACAGGAAUUUUCUUAAAAAAAUCCGACGCAGCCGUUGGAAUAUUGCAAAACCAAGAAGGAGCCUAAUUAGGCCACGCAGCGCCUUCCUCCCCCCUUUUACACACACACACAGACACACUCUGUCCCGAUCUGCGUCAGCUCGAUUGGUGCCGCUGCUGCUACAGCUGCUGCUGUUGCGGGAGGAUAUUUGCCGUUGGUAUUUUUCCCUCUCCCUGGUUACUGCACUUGUAGUGGGGGGGAAGCGUUACGUACACUACACUACACAUCUGAUCUGACGUAAUCGCAUUGUGGGUGACGUGCACACGUCUACAAACGGGUUGGUGACCCGUGGGUAUCUGGCAUCUGGGGGGUGGGAAGGAAAGGGAGACGCGCUCGCGCGCGCGCGGAACAUGGCCAAGCGGGCUCACGGUGGUGGUGGCGGUGGCGGUGGUGGUAACCAUGUGAACGGAGGGCGA